UACGUAGGGUGCAAGCGUUAAUCGGAAUUACUGGGCGUAAAGCGUGCGCAGGCGGUUUUGUAAGUCUGUCGUGAAAUCCCCCGGGCUCAACCUGGGAAUUGCGAUGGAGACUGCAAGGCUAGAAUCUGGCAGAGGGGGGUAGAAUUCCACGUGUAGCAGUGAAAUGCGUAGAGAUGUGGAGGAACACCGAUGGCGAAGGCAGCCCCCUGGGUCAAGAUUGACGCUCAUGCACGAAAGCGUGGGGAGCAAACGAGGAUACGAAACCCCGGU
RNAcentral lists this ribosomal RNA (270 nucleotides) under uncultured bacterium. Its description in RNAcentral is "partial 16S ribosomal RNA". It matches the Rfam family "Bacterial small subunit ribosomal RNA", at positions 524 to 791 of the family's 1533-position model. The record is from RNAcentral.